AAAUGAUGAUGUUCAUUGUAGGUAGAGGAAGAAAUGCUGAUGCGCAAGUUCUAUGAGUUCAUGUCAGCUCAAGGCCUCACUAGAAGGAAUGAAGAUGGUAAUGACAUGCAAAGAGAUUGCAAUAACAGUCAUGGCAAAACACUUGUUCAAGUGAUUGCUGACAAAUAGAAAGUUUCAUAAUUAGCGAGUUGGUAUGGGACAAGCGUGCGUGUGACAGUACAUGGGAAUUGGGAAAGCUCUCUUAAGGUAUUAUACAUUGAUAGGAAAAUUCAGAUAAUUUUGCCCUUUAUUUUGGUCAUCUAAUGUAUAUGGCUUAGGGGUUAACCUAUUAUAUAGGUUGGAUGUAAUGAUUGGCAUGAGCUCAUUCAUGAGGAAAAGUGUGAGCAGUGCCAACAAAGUUCUGUGUAUCUUUGAUCUUUAGGGGUACAUAAUUUUGUGAAGCAAAGUGUGUAUGCGGCAUAUUUUGAUUCCUCAAAUGCUACAAAGAUACAUUUUCACC
This is a long non-coding RNA of Coffea eugenioides, 499 nucleotides long. RefSeq lists it as uncharacterized. Lineage: Eukaryota; Viridiplantae; Streptophyta; Magnoliopsida; Gentianales; Rubiaceae. The transcript is spliced from 2 exons. The record is from RefSeq and is a predicted model, not a curated record.